Long non-coding RNA from Haliotis rubra (blacklip abalone), 277 nucleotides. RefSeq lists it as uncharacterized. The transcript has 3 exons. Lineage: Eukaryota; Metazoa; Mollusca; Gastropoda; Lepetellida; Haliotidae. The record is from RefSeq and is a predicted model, not a curated record.
CUGACACUCUGAGUUUCACUAAACACGCUAUGCAGUUUAUGGAUGGCAGAUUUGAAUUACAACGUCCAUUUUGAACAGAUUACACCAGAAAAGUACCAAACUCGCACACACGGCUAGCCUGACAUGUGUCCCAACUACUCGUGCCUGGUGGUCAUCGCUAUGUGUUUCGUUGGGUCAGUUCAGUCUUUGAAGUUCCAGUGCUCGAACACAACGUGUAUAGAGAAUUUACAAGUGUGUGACGGUAAACAAGACUGUGCUGAUGGGAGAGAUGAGGAAA